RNAcentral lists this ribosomal RNA (356 nucleotides) under uncultured organism. Its description in RNAcentral is "bacterial LSU rRNA". It matches the Rfam family "Bacterial large subunit ribosomal RNA", at positions 2099 to 2465 of the family's 2925-position model. The record is from RNAcentral.
CUUUACUCUAGCUUGGCACUGAGUCGUACAUAUAUUUGUGCAGGAUAGGUGGGAGACUAUGAAAGAUGGACGCCAGUUCAUCUCGAGUCGUCGUUGAGAUACCACCCUCGUAUAUGUAUGCCUCUAACCCCUUUUUGGGGGACCGUGCUUGGUGGGGAGUUUAACUGGGGCGGUUGCCUCCUAAAACGUAACGGAGGCGCACAAAGGUAGGCUAGGUCCGGAUGGAAAUCGGACUGGUCGUGUAUUCGCACAAGCCUGCUUGACUGAGAGACCUACAAGUCGAUCAGAGACGAAAGUCGGUGAAAGUGAUCCGGCACCAACAUGUGGGAGUGGUGUCGCGCAACGGAUAAAAGUUA